Microcebus murinus (gray mouse lemur) is the source of this 3181-nucleotide non-coding RNA. The record is from RefSeq and is a predicted model, not a curated record. NCBI's taxonomy places the organism in Eukaryota, Metazoa, Chordata, Mammalia, Primates, Cheirogaleidae.
UUUUAAAAAAUUGGAACUACCAUAAUUAUUGCAAAAUUAGGCAGUUUUCAUUUUUUGAGAAUGCCUGAAUAUGUUCAUUGUUCACUGAUAACCAAACUAAGGUGGCAGUCUUCCAAAAGAUGACAGGAUAGUGCAGCUUUUUAUUCCAACAUGAGGUGGAACCAAGAAUUUAAGAUUCACAGAAACAUUUGAGGAAAGCACUAGUCCUUUGGUAUCUCUAGAACACUCAAUCUUUUUAUUACCUUGGAUUAUGAAUCAGCAUUUGAAUUCAUGUCUUUUCUCUGAUCUUUGCUGCCCCCUGGUGACUCACACUGCACUUUUUCUCCAGUUUAAAUCUACUUAGUCUAUACCUAAUUAAUGUUGUAAUUAUUGUGUAAAGUAAAUAUUUAUGGGAAGCCAAUAUUUAAAGAUUUCCAAUGUGUAGGUAAAACAUUAACCUUGACUUAAUGUUAGCCCACUGAUCCCAAGAAAUAAAUUCAGAAAGGGUCUUACCAUUUGUAAAUGAAAACUGAAUUUGUAUUUUUGUGUGUUUACUGAUUUGUUUUUACUGUAUGGAUGAAUAAUUAUGCAUGAAAAACAAAUUAAAGGAAGUGGCAUGUACAUGCAUGAUAGGGCUUGGUGAAAUAUUGUCAAGUAUUAUUUUCAUUGAACCUCGUGUGGAUCACAGCUGGGGCUUACAGAUUUAGAGUGCUUGGCUGAAUAGUCACCUGGCUAUGAUGAAAAAUUCAUGGUUUCAGGCAAGAUUUCAAUUACUGCCAUUAUUCUAAAGGUGAAAAAAUAAAAACACCGUUACUUACAUGAAUGCCCUGAAUGGUAAAAUCUUUAAUAUGAUACCUAUUGUGAUUUUAGGAAAAGGAGGGGAAAGGCUUAUCUUUGAUGUAACUCCUUAGAAUUCCUCAUUUUAAUUUGGCUUACUAUCAAAAUUUUCCUAAUUGUUUCAGUUCAAACAUCAUUCUUGAAUUAUUAAUAGCACCAAACUCUUCAUACUAUCCUAAAGGCAAACAAUUGAGUAGCUGAAACUGUCCUUAUGUAUUUUUUUGUUUGUUUUUUGAAAACUCAUACCUCCACUAUUCUAGUUUUCCCCAAAGGUGAGCAUUUCCUAAAGUUUAAUGCUGUCUUUCAAUUUCUAUUUCUAUGUUCUUUGCUUUGGAGAUCUUACUCUUUGAAGCCUUAAGAAUUUCUCCAUGUAGACACCUCUAUAAUCUGCCUCUUCAACACUGACUGCUUUUCUCAACUUCUAUUUUGUAUUCCAGUGGCCUCCAUCAUAUGAGUCACUUGGUCGUUCCACUGUUUUUUUUUAACAAGUAUAAAGUAUCUCUACAGACAAUAUGGAGAGAAGAGAAAGAAACGAAACAGAAGUACUGAGUAGAAGCCCUGGGAUGAAAUAAACCAUGAGCAACCUGGUAUCAUAAAACAGAAGGAGCUGAGGACAUAGUCCUGAGUGAGAAAUGGUCCCUGCUGUCAUGUAAACACCAAGUCAACUGAACUUGGAGAGAACAGUGCAAUGACAGAAACAUGGACACCCACAAACCCCACCUUGCUCUAGCCCUGGCCUUACCAUUUACCCUCAGAUUUUCAAGCACACCUGCUGCAAUAAGCCCAGGUGGCCUCACAGGUGUGUGAGUGAGUGUGUGUAUUGAAGGUGCAGCUCCCCACCAAAUUAGCUUAGAGAAAGGUAUAUUUUCCAAGCUUCAUCAGAUGGUGAUACAGUUAGAGUAUAAGUGAUGGUGGCAGGUGAAAAAGCUGAAAAGCCAGAUACUAAGGAGAGGAAAUCAGAAGCCAAGAAGGCUGAAGCCAGUGCAAGGUUAAGAAGGGUAGACUCAAGGCUCAAAAGCCCAAGAAGAGACGUCUCUCUGCACUGAUUCCUCGCCAGUGGAAUUGGUACAUAUUCCCGAUCUGCUACGUAUUCCAGAAAGGCUGUGUAGAAGACGAAGUAUGUAACCUCAUAAUCCAGGAUUGAGAAGAAAAAGGAGAAGGUCCUUGCUAAGGUUACAAAUCUGUUGGUGGUGACAAGAAUGGUGGCAAGAAGGUGUUUUUUCUGAAGCAGCUGAGCAGUGGCUUGCUACUUGUAACUGGACCUCUGGUUUUCAAUGGAGUUCUUUGUAGAACAUACCAGAUAUUUGUCAUUGCUACCUCCAAAAUUGAUAUUAGCUAUGUGAAAAUUCCAAAUCAUCUCACUGAUGCUUACUUCAAACAGAAGAAGCUGUGGGAGUCCAGACACCAGGAAGGUGAAAUACUAGACCCAGAGAAAGAAAUGCAAGAUUACAGAGCAGUGCAAGGUUGAUCAGAAGGCCAAUGAUCAGAGCUAUUCCUCAGCUCCAAGAUGACCUAUGAUCUGUGCUUGCCCUGCUGUUCUAAAUUUCUUACCAAGAACAUAAUUAAAUAAUAAUUUAAUUGGCCAUGGUUAUUAAAAAAAUAAACAAAAGUAAACACAUUGUCACCAUCAUGGAUUUUAGUAGCAAAUGUUUGCUGAGUAUAUAUGUUAAGAAUUCACUUGCAACUACUAUAAGCCCUGGAACCCACUAUUAUUUCAAUAAAUAGAGACCAGGGGAAUCAGGCUAUUAAUAAUUCUUCUUAUACAUUUAUUAUAUAUUACAUAACAUACAUUACACACUCAUAUAUAUUAAUAUAUGCAUAGUAUAUAUUAUAUGUAAUAAAUGUAAAAUGAGUUAUGAGUUUUUGAAUAUGGCAAUGGGAAUUAAAUGAAGUAAAGGUCACUGUGGGCUAUCGUGGCCAAGGUCUCAUUAAAUUUCUGAAAAGUUGUCUAGACACAAUGCAUAGUAUAAAUGGGCCAUUAAAAUUACAUGGAAAAAUAAGAGUAGAGUUGGGAAAAAACAGAAUUUAUCAGUUCUGUCUCCCUGCCCGGUUUCUCUAUAGCCUAAAGUUGUGGGACAUUAUUACAGUGAGAAUUUUAGUUAGAUGAAUGGCAUUAUAAUAUGAUGUGGUUUUAAAAUUGUUUUUCCAUUAUUAAGAGCCACUUAUAAUACUGAGAGGUUUGUCUCUUUGUAAGGGGAAACACAUUACUGUUCUGAAACAACAUGCAUUCUAUUUUGCUGUGAAUUGAGACUGCAGAAAUAGAAAGAAAAUAGGGCAUUGAGGCUGAAUAAGGGGCUGAUCAUUUAUAGCUUGGUUAUAUUUUGGCUACACUGUUUGGAUUUUGGAAUAAAGAUAUAUGAUUAAA